AGUCGUAACAAGGUUUCCGUAGGUGAACCUGCGGAAGGAUCAUUAACAAAUCCGUUGAGUGAAGGAGUGGUGGUGUGGGUGUAGUAGUGGUAGAUAAUAUCGUACUGUGCUCGCGUCCCUCUCCCUCUCACUUACAUGAACCGGAUCUCCGAGAGGAGGUUCGCCUGCAAACGAUCGUUGGCUGUUGCCUCGGCUGUUUGCAGAAAUAGGCUAUGCUUUGUAUGUCUUAUAACAACAUAAUCAAUCAUAAACAACUUUUAACAAUGGAUCUCUUGGCUCUU
RNAcentral lists this unclassified non-coding RNA (281 nucleotides) under fungal sp. RNAcentral's name for it is "partial internal transcribed spacer region". The stretch from base 1 to 45 matches the Rfam family "Eukaryotic small subunit ribosomal RNA", at positions 1787 to 1831 of the family's 1831-position model. Lineage: Eukaryota; Fungi. The record is from RNAcentral.